Molecule: unclassified non-coding RNA, 21 nt
Filed under: Mus musculus (house mouse)
Lineage: Eukaryota; Metazoa; Chordata; Mammalia; Rodentia; Muridae
Description: oocyte_clustered_small_RNA7442
Source: RNAcentral
CACACCCACCUCUUGGCCCUG